UUAAACUAAAACCUAAACAGAUCAUUACUAUUAUGUAUCAGUCCACAGUUCUUUAUACAUGAACCCUGUCAGUCGAACAGCAGGUUUACAACAGGGCUUCCCUGAACAAACCCCCCCUGGUCUAAAAGCAGGUUUACAACAGGGCUUCCCUGAACAAACCCCAACUGGUCUAACAGCAGGUUUACAACAGGGCUUCCCUGAACAAACCCCCCCUGGUCUAACAGCAGGUUUACAACAGGGCUUCCCUGAACAAACCCCCCCUGGUCUAACAGCAGGUUUACAACAGGGCUUCCCUGAACAAACCCCAACUGGUCUAACAGCAGGUUUACAACAGGGCUUCCCUGAACAAACCCCCCCUGGUCUAACAGCAGGUUUACAACAGGGCUUCCCUGAAUAACCCCCCCCUGGUCUAACAGCAGGUUUACAACAGGGCUUCACUGAACAAACCCCCCCCCCACACUCACCUGCAUCCCAAAUGGCUUCCUGUAGUGAACUAGGUUUGACCAGGACCCAUUGUGCUACCCCCCCCUGGUCUAGCAAAGAGCACAGCACAGGGAACAGUGUACCAAUAGGACACGUUAUACAGUCCACGGUUCCUCUGUGUACCAGGCAGUAAACCAGGCAGUAAACCAGGCAGUAAACCAGCCAGUCAGUCAGCUCUGUUCAUAAAUGUCUUUCAACUGUACAUCUUAUUACAAACGAUGGUUACAUACAUGUCAUCAUCAUCAUCCUCAUGGCAUCUGAACAGACACAAACUAAGAGGUCAGCCCACUCCCGAACGGCUCCCUAUUCCCUAUCAUGGCAUCUGAACAGACACAAACUAAGAGGUCAGCCCACUCCCGAACGGCUCCCUAUUCCCUAUCAUGGCAUCUGAACAGACACAAACUAAGAGGUCAGCCCACUCCCGAACGGCUCCCUAUUCCCUAUCAUGGCAUCUGAACAGACACAAACUAAGAGGUCAGCCCACUCCCGAACGGCUCCCUAUUCCCUAUUAUAGUGCACUACUUUAGGUCAGCCCACUCCCGAACGGCUCCCUAUUCCCUAUCAUGGCAUCUGAACAGACACAAACUAAGAGGUCAGCCCACUCCCGAACGGCUCCCUAUUCCCUAUCAUGGCAUCUGAACAGACACAAACUAAGAGGUCAGCCCACUCCCGAACGGCUCCCUAUUCCCUAUCAUGGCAUCUGAACAGACACAAACUAAGAGGUCAGCCCACUCCCGAACGGCUCCCUAUUCCCUAUUAUAGUGCACUACUUUAGGUCAGCCCACUCCCGAACGGCUCCCUAUUCCCUAUCAUGGCAUCUGAACAGACACAAACUAAGAGGUCAGCCCACUCCCGAACGGCUCCCUAUUCCCUAUCAUGGCAUCUGAACAGACACAAACUAAGAGGUCAGCCCACUCCCGAACGGCUCCCUAUUCCCUAUCAUGGCAUCUGAACAGACACAAACUAAGAGGUCAGCCCACUCCCGAACGGCUCCCUAUUCCCUAUCAUGGCAUCUGAACAGACACAAACUAAGAGGUCAGCCCACUCCCGAACGGCUCCCUAUUCCCUAUCAUGGCAUCUGAACAGACACAAACUAAGAGGUCAGCCCACUCCCGAACGGCUCCCUAUUCCCUAUCAUGGCAUCUGAACAGACACAAACUAAGAGGUCAGCCCACUCCCGAACGGCUCCCUAUUCCCUAUCAUGGCAUCUGAACAGACACAAACUAAGAGGUCAGCCCACUCCCGAACGGCUCCCUAUUCCCUAUCAUGGCAUCUGAACAGACACAAACUAAGAGGUCAGCCCACUCCCGAACGGCUCCCUAUUCCCUAUCAUGGCAUCUGAACAGACACAAACUAAGAGGUCAGCCCACUCCCGAACGGCUCCCUAUUCCCUAUUAUAGUGCACUACUUUAGGUCAGCCCACUCCCGAACGGCUCCCUAUUCCCUAUUAUAGUGCACUACUUUAGGUCAGCCCACUCCCGAACGGCUCCCUAUUCCCUAUUAUAGUGCACUACUUUAGGUCAGCCCACUCCCGAACGGCUCCCUAUUCCCUAUUAUGGCAUCUCAACAGACACAAACUAAGAGGUCAGCCCACU
Molecule: non-coding RNA, 2078 nt
Organism: Oncorhynchus mykiss (rainbow trout)
Lineage: Eukaryota; Metazoa; Chordata; Actinopteri; Salmoniformes; Salmonidae
Source: RefSeq, a predicted model, not a curated record